UUAAUUAAUUAGCUCCCUUAAUAAUUGACUUUUUGGUCCCCCUUUAUUAAUUUACAUUGAGCAGUUGAUGGUGAGGGAGUGUGUUCUUACACAUUCCAGAGGAAUAUUAAAAGUUAAUUUUUUAUCCUUGCCUUCAGAGAAUCUCAUUUCUCAGUAACAUACCUGAGGAAAAGGUUAAAUCUUACAGGGAAGCCACUUUUGUGUGUGUUUACAUUAUUAAAGAGUGACUGUGCAGAGCUCUGUGUAAGGAGUAUAACGUUUGAUGAACUUUCCAUGUUAUUAUAAAUAAUUUUAGAUUAAAAAAAAGAUUUAGACCUAAAGAUGCGCACUAUUUAUUUUUAGUCCAAUCAUAAAAUUCCCCUACAAACUCUCUCGGAAAACAUUUCCCCCCUAGUACACGGACUCUAUUACAGUUUCAUUUCCUUACAUUAAACUAGUAUGACCCAGCAUGAAAAAUCAAAUUAUUAGCUAUUAAAAUAUCUCCCACGUCCCCUCGCUUUUGCCACUUGGGUUUUUUUUUUUUUUAAAUUUAUUUAUUUAUUUUUAGCAACUUUUCAAAAUGUCGGGGACGUGCUCCAGCAGCUCUGGUUUGACUCAUCACCACAGCUGAUUAAUCAAUAAAGUGUCUGUGAGGCAAACUGGCUACCUCAACAAGUCCGGGCUUGUCUGCGAGUCACCUGUGGCGUCGAAUGAAUAAGGAGGUCUUCAUUAACUUGCAGAGAGGACAAAACUGAAUGAAGCUCAUUAACUGCAGGGAGGGAACAGGUGCAGGGCAGCACAUCGAGGAGAACGAGAACCCACAGGGCCUCAGACAUUGUAAAGCAGAGAGGAUAUGUGGACAUACUGUGUGCAGCCGCGGAUGGGUCCAGCACAGCCGCUUCAUCCAGGAUAGCUCAUUGCUGUGGUGUGGGACAGUUACUUCAAAGUCUCAGUGGAGUCAUUACUUGGGAGUGACUUUAUUUUUCCGUGCCAGACAUUGAUAUCAAGCAUCGAGACGAGGAAACCUGAGAGGAGGCGAGUUGACAGACCGCACAGACCUGCUCAGGGAAGAUGACCUGCCAAGCUCAAGUGACAUGCAGAGGAAGUGUUUUGAGUGUAUUUUGUUUUGUUUUUUAAUUACCACACAUUUCGCAUAUUAAGCCUCUCCUUUAAAUGUAUAAAAAAAAAAAUAAGGAACCUCAUGAUCAGCUGGGGCCUUUCUGCAUGGAUGUCCUCCAUGUGCCUGUGUGGGUUUUUCUGGGUACUUUCCUCCCACAGUGCAUCUUAAGUUGGGUAAAUAGUGAUUAUAAAUGUGUCUGUGGAUGUGAUUGUGAGAUGUUGUUGUGUGUCUGCGUGUGUUAAACCUCUGAUAGAUUGGCAGCUGGGUCAGGAUUUAACAAGUUUAGAAAAAAAACAAACGGAUUGAACAAAACAGAAAUAAAUAUAUGUUUCAUUUCUUAAAAUGUAAAACAAGCACUUUUUUGGACAUGCAGUGUUUUAUCUGUGAAUUAAGUAAGUUUAAGUGCUGCUUCAUGAUGAUGUUUUGCUAAGACUACAGAACUGGCUUUAUUUAAAAUUUUAAACAUUUAAUUACGUUACCGUUUUCACAUGACAUUGAAUAUAGCUGCCUACAUUACACACAGUACAAUACACUAACAGUACAAGCACACAGAAGUUCAGCUUUGACCUUUGGAACGAUGACAAAAUCAACUUUAUGAAGAUCCACCUGUUUUUUCUGCCUUUAAUUGGAUGCUAUGGUUUUUAUCGGCACAUUUGUGAUGCUGUUGUUUUAUUACAUUGAAUUGUGGUUGAAUUUUACACACUUAACUCCACCCAUUACAGCUUAUCUGUAGUUAGUUUUUUUUUUUUUUAAAGUAUUGUCCUAAUUUCACAAAGGUCAGUUGUCGUUGAGUUUCUGUUCCCACAGGUCGACUGGGUGCGACUGGAGAGCCGUGCGAGAGUUAAACUGUCCUUUGGGGUGAGGUAGUAGGUUGUAUAGUUUUAGGGUCAUUCCCAAGCUGUCAGAUGACUAUACAACUUACUGUCUUUCCUGAAGCGGCUGUAAUAACAUCAUCUUCAUCAUCGUACCCACAAGAGGAUAAGAAGCAUGACUUUUGAAUUUGGACUCGUUUGUUUGUUUAACCUAAAAUAAUAUGCAGAUUUUUGUGGGAAAUUGUUCUCUUUUUAUUGAUGCCUGUUGUUGUUGUUGUUUUUUAUUAUUUUUUAAAAAAAGGUAAGUUCUGCUAGUCUGAAGUUGUAACCAGUGAAGCUUGUUCUCACAGCGUGUAGUAAAUUUAGCGAAGUAAUGUGAAAUCUAGCCACUUUUACUUUUGCAGCUUUUUCAUGUAACUUUUCCUGCAAGUGCAUCCUUUUAUGUGCAGCAUGUAACAUUUCAACUGACAUUAUCAUGGCAAUCCUCAUUGCAAUAAUAAAUAACAAAGUUGCUUUCAGUUUCAUUUAUGCAGCGAUGCGGCUCGCGCACAAAUCCUCUCCGUACCCGCCUGGGUGCUUUAUGAUGUUCGUACAGGGUGAGGUAGUAGGUUGUGUGGUUUCAGGGUUGUGAUUUUACCCCAUCAGGAGCUAACUAUACAACCUACUGCCUUCCCUGGAGGGCAGCAAUACAUCACAGGAGCGCGCGCAUCUUUGUCAUUUUCCCUGCCUCUGAAAAAUGGGACAGUCUCUUUUACAAAGGCCCACAAAAGACUGCCAUUCGAUCUCAAGGGUUCACGUGUAUGGGUGAGUGGCGCUCACUCACACGACGCAUUUCAGAGAGACAAUCACUUUACACAUUUGUAACUCACACUGGGAAGAUGGCAUAAAAAAGGCAUUUAUUUAAUUUUAUUAGCAUUCAUGUUUUAAUACUGCUUGUACUUUUCCCCCAGUAAUUAAAUAAAGACUGGACAAGAAAUAAUUGCUGAGCAAAUAAUGGCUGAAGUCUGAUCUUUGUGCUGAUAACAACUGUGCAACAGUAGAGUCUCCCUAGAUGGGAUAUUUUCUUCGAAAUGCUGCUUUAGUCUCUAAUCCCUUUAAGGAGCUCAUAAUGCCCUGAAAUUCUAAUCCCCAAAGCCUCUGUGUCUGAGGAACAUGUAUCUUUUUAUCUGUCUAGAAAAGUCUCCUAAAAAGCAUGCAUCAUUUCUCUUUUGUUCUUUAAAACAAAAAUCAAUUGCAUGGGAUUUCUUCCAAUUAAGAUGUUAAUACUGUGCAAGAUUAAAGGCAAGUAAAACUCCAGAAAACAAUUGAAGGUAGAGCAAACAGCCAAGAGUCAUGCUGUUUUAUGAAACCACACGUAGGAGUGCAGCUUUUGCUUUGAGUUUUCAAGCGACAUCCCUGACCAAAGCUGAUUCUGUAGCUCGCUGCUUAAAAACCAUUUCGUAUUCAGAAAAAAUGAGCUUGUGUUUCCAUCCCAGAUGGAACGGAAGACCAGGUGCCGAGGUAAAACCAAAGAAAAUCAUAAAUUAUCACCCUGCCAUUUGUUUGUGGGAGAACACGCUGAGCCACCAUGAGGGGUUUUUAUCGUCUACACUUACUGUGCAGGUCCACAGGAAAAUAUGACAGCCAAAAUAUCCUAUUGUCAUGCGUCAUUUCACAGUAGAUGGCGCCAGAUAUUAAAUGCGGUGUUGUUGCUUUGCUGGAGACAAUCGCAGUCUACACUAAUUUGUUAGAUGUACUUUAAGACGGGCUAUAAAUUUCUAAGGAGUUGGUACAGAAUGAGGGUGUCCUGCUGACCUACAUGUAGGAGGUCCAGGCAGGAAAGGAGGGCUGCUUUCUGCCAACUAAAGUAACCUUACAGCAGCACUGACACAACAUCGUGCUUAUGGUUGAAAUAAAGUUAAUUUUGCCACAGGUCAAGUAUGUGUUCCAUAGGGUCACAGUUAAAUAUCAAAAAUCUUCCAAGUGUACACCAUCAAAUAAAAAACACCAGCUGGUAGCCACAGUAUGAAGUGCCAUUAGCACUAAAUUGUGAAGGGAGGCUUUUUGGAGCAACCGUUUUAAAAGCAAGUACACACGCCUACCUUAUUCAUGCUAUUAAAUGUGUUUUAAAGAAGAUGGGGAUUUUUUAAGGUGUAAAUAAAAGGCAAACACCUGAAAGAUGCCCGUGAUUUGUAUCCCAGUGUGUGGCUUAGUAGGUAGAAUGCCAUUCAAACACUCAGACAGUUGUUAUUUGGAUUGCAACUGCAAAUUAGGCUGACACUAAAAUGACCUUCACUUUCUUACUGCUUAACUGUGAGCAGCAUAACACCAAGAGACAGACUUAUUUGUCAUUUCCCAGCAAUACUUGGACACAACACAUAUCUCUGAUUGUCA
Long non-coding RNA from Astatotilapia calliptera (eastern happy), 4284 nucleotides. The record is from Ensembl. NCBI's taxonomy places the organism in Eukaryota, Metazoa, Chordata, Actinopteri, Cichliformes, Cichlidae.